RNAcentral lists this ribosomal RNA (1380 nucleotides) under metagenome. Its description in RNAcentral is "bacterial LSU rRNA". It matches the Rfam family "Bacterial large subunit ribosomal RNA", at positions 1515 to 2925 of the family's 2925-position model. The record is from RNAcentral.
AGCACAGGAGGGGUACGGCUGGAAAAACCGCCGUGCAACCCAAAGGUGUGACGCAUACCGAACUAAAGUAGGGAAAUGUGUGAGCCGGCUGCCGAGAAAAGCCGCUAUUGUUUGUACUGUACCCGUACCGUAAACCGACACAGGUGGAUGAGGAGAGAAUCCUAAGGCCGACGGAAGAAGCAUUGCUAAGGAACUCGGCAAAAUGACCCUGUAACUUCGGGAGAAAGGGUGCCUCGAAAGAGGCCGCAGAGAAUAGGCCCAAGCAACUGUUUAGCAAAAACACAGGUCUAUGCAAAACCGCAAGGUGAAGUAUAUGGGCUGACGCCUGCCCGGUGCUGGAAGGUUAAGGGGAGAUGUCAGGAGACGAAGCAUCGAACUUAAGCCCCAGUAAACGGCGGCCGUAACUAUAACGGUCCUAAGGUAGCGAAAUUCCUCGUCGGGUAAGUUCCGACCCGCACGAAAGGCGUAAUGAUUUGGGCGCUGUCUCGGCAAUGCAUCCGGUGAAAUUGAAGUGCCAGUGAAGAUGCUGGCUACCCGCGCCAGGACGGAAAGACCCCAUGGAGCUUUACUCCAGCUUGAUACUGGGAUUCGGUAUUGUAUGUACAGGAUAGGUGGGAGGCUGAGAAAUGGUGACGCCAGUCGCCAUGGAGCCGCUGUUGGGAUACCACCCUUGCAGUACUGGAUUUCUAACCAGCAGCCGUGAUCCGGCUGGGGGACAAUGUCAGGUGGGGAGUUUGACUGGGGCGGUCGCCUCCGAAAGGGUAUCGGAGGCGCUCAAAGGUUCCCUCAGAAUGGUCGGAAACCAUUCGAAGAGUGCAAAGGCAGAAGGGAGCUUGACUGCGACACCGACGGGUGGGGCAGGUACGAAAGUAGGACUUAGUGAUCCGGUGGUAUUAAGUGGGAAUGCCAUCGCUCAACGGAUAAAAGCUACCCUGGGAUAACAGGCUUAUCACUCCCAAGAGUUCACAUCGACGGAGUGGUUUGGCACCUCGAUGUCGGCUCAUCGCAUCCUGGGGCUGUAGUAGGUCCCAAGGGUUGGGCUGUUCGCCCAUUAAAGCGGUACGCGAGCUGGGUUCAGAACGUCGUGAGACAGUUCGGUCCCUAUCCGGCGUGGGCGUAGGAUAUUUGAGAGGAGCUGACCUUAGUACGAGAGGACCGGGUUGGACUGACCUCUGGUGCACCGGUUGUCAUGCCAAUGGCACAGCCGGGUAGCCAAGUCGGGAAGGGAUAAACGCUGAAGGCAUCUAAGCGUGAAGCCCCCCUCAAGAUGAGAUAUCCCCCGCAUAAGCGGUAAGACCCCUUGAAGACGACGAGGUAGAUAGGGCAGAGGUGGAAGUGCAGUAAUGUAUGGAGCUGACUGCUACUAAUAGGUCGAAGGCU